Molecule: ribosomal RNA, 270 nt
Filed under: uncultured archaeon
Lineage: Archaea
Description: partial 16S ribosomal RNA
Rfam family: Archaeal small subunit ribosomal RNA
Source: RNAcentral
CAGCACCUCAAGUGGUUGGGAUGAUUAUUGGGCCUAAAGCAUCCGUAGCCGGCGCUGUAAGUUUUCGGUUAAAUCUGUACGCUCAACGUACAGGCUGCCGGGAAUACUGCAGCGCUAGGGAGUGGGAGAGGUAGACGGUACUCGGUAGGAAGGGGUAAAAUCCUUUGAUCUAUUGAUGACCACCUGUGGCGAAGGCGGUCUACCAGAACACGUCCGACGGUGAGGGAUGAAAGCUGGGGGAGCAAACCGGAUUAGAUACCCGAGUAGUCC